This 28-nucleotide small RNA is filed under the name Bombyx mori (domestic silkworm). RNAcentral's name for it is "ovarian small RNA-9760". The record is from RNAcentral. Lineage: Eukaryota; Metazoa; Arthropoda; Insecta; Lepidoptera; Bombycidae.
UUGUAAAUCCUCUUUGAAGGCACUGCGA